This 520-nucleotide ribosomal RNA is filed under the name Paecilomyces maximus. RNAcentral describes it as "partial large subunit ribosomal RNA". It matches the Rfam family "Eukaryotic large subunit ribosomal RNA", at positions 89 to 624 of the family's 3401-position model. Lineage: Eukaryota; Fungi; Ascomycota; Eurotiomycetes; Eurotiales; Thermoascaceae. The record is from RNAcentral.
GCGAGUGAAGCGGCAAGAGCUCAAAUUUGAAAUCUGGCUCCUCCGGGGUCCGAGUUGUAAUUUGCAGAGGAUGCUUCGGGUGCGGUCCCCGUCUAAGUACCCUGGAAUGGGUCGUCAUAGAGGGUGAGAAUCCCGUCUGGGACGGGUGGCCGUGUCCGUGUGAAGCUCCUUCGACGAGUCGAGUUGUUUGGGAAUGCAGCUCUAAAUGGGUGGUAAAUUUCAUCUAAAGCUAAAUAUUGGCCGGAGACCGAUAGCGCACAAGUAGAGUGAUCGAAAGAUGAAAAGCACUUUGAAAAGAGAGUUAAACAGCACGUGAAAUUGUUGAAAGGGAAGCGCUUGCGACCAGACUCGCCCGCGGGGGUUCAGCCGGUACUCGUACCGGUGUACUCCCCCGUGGGCGGGCCAGCGUCGGUUUGGGCGGCCGGUCAAAGGCCUCCGGAAUGUAUCGCCCUUCGGGGCGUCUUAUAGCCGGGGGUGCAAUGCGGCCAGCCUGGACCGAGGAACGCGCUUCGGCUCGGAC